GACGAACGCUGGCGGCGUGCUUAACACAUGCGAGUCGAACGGAAAGGCCCUGCUUUUGUGGGGUGCUCGAGUGGCGAACGGGUGAGUAACACGUGAGUAACCUGCCCUUGACUUUGGGAUAACUUCAGGAAACUGGGGCUAAUACCGGAUAGGAGCUCCUGCUGCAUGGUGGGGGUUGGAAAGUUUCGGCGGUUGGGGAUGGACUCGCGGCUUAUCAGCUUGUUGGUGGGGUAGUGGCUUACCAAGGCUUUGACGGGUAGCCGGCCUGAGAGGGUGACCGGCCACAUUGGGGCUGAGAUACGGCCCAGACUCCUACGGGAGGCAGCAGUGGGGAAUAUUGCACAAUGGGCGGAAGCCUGAUGCAGCAACGCCGCGUGCGGGAUGACGGCCUUCGGGUUGUAAACCGCUUUCGCCUGUGACGAAGCGUGAGUGACGGUAAUGGGUAAAGAAGCACCGGCUAACUACGUGC
RNAcentral lists this ribosomal RNA (469 nucleotides) under uncultured bacterium. RNAcentral's name for it is "partial 16S ribosomal RNA". It matches the Rfam family "Bacterial small subunit ribosomal RNA", at positions 28 to 508 of the family's 1533-position model. The record is from RNAcentral.